Molecule: transfer RNA, 83 nt
Filed under: Claviceps purpurea (ergot fungus)
Lineage: Eukaryota; Fungi; Ascomycota; Sordariomycetes; Hypocreales; Clavicipitaceae
Description: tRNA-Lys
Rfam family: tRNA
About the family: Transfer RNA (tRNA) molecules are approximately 80 nucleotides in length. Their secondary structure includes four short double-helical elements and three loops (D, anti-codon, and T loops).
Source: RNAcentral
GCCCGGUUAGCUCAAUCGGUAGAGCGUGAGACUCUUACUAUACACAAAUCUCAAGGUUGCGGGUUCGACCCCCGCAUCGGGCU